GAUGAACGCUGGCGGCGUGCCUAAUACAUGCAAGUAGAACGCUGAAGGAGGAGCUUGCUCUUCUGGAUGAGUUGCGAACGGGUGAGUAACGCGUAGGUAACCUGCCUGGUAGCGGGGGAUAACUAUUGGAAACGAUAGCUAAUACCGCAUGACAACAGUUAUUGCAUGAUAACUGUUUAAAAGGGGCAACUGCUCCACUACCAGAUGGACCUGCGUUGUAUUAGCUAGUUGGUGAGGUAACGGCUCACCAAGGCGACGAUACAUAGCCGACCUGAGAGGGUGAUCGGCCACACUGGGACUGAGACACGGCCCAGACUCCUACUGGAGGCAGCAGUAGGGAAUCUUCGGCAAUGGACGGAAGUCUGACCGAGCAACGCCGCGUGAGUGAAGAAGGUUUUCGGAUCGUAAAGCUCUGUUGUAAGAGAAGAACGAGUGUGAGAGUGGAAAGUUCACACUGUGACGGUAUCUUACCAGAAAGGGACGGCUAACUACGUG
This 495-nucleotide ribosomal RNA is filed under the name uncultured bacterium. Its description in RNAcentral is "partial 16S ribosomal RNA". It matches the Rfam family "Bacterial small subunit ribosomal RNA", at positions 28 to 507 of the family's 1533-position model. The record is from RNAcentral.